This 547-nucleotide ribosomal RNA is filed under the name Escherichia coli. Its description in RNAcentral is "bacterial SSU rRNA". It matches the Rfam family "Bacterial small subunit ribosomal RNA", at positions 998 to 1533 of the family's 1533-position model. Lineage: Bacteria; Pseudomonadati; Pseudomonadota; Gammaproteobacteria; Enterobacterales; Enterobacteriaceae. The record is from RNAcentral.
CUGUAGAGAUACGGGGGUGCCUUCGGGAACUGUGAGACAGGUGCUGCAUGGCUGUCGUCAGCUCGUGUUGUGAAAUGUUGGGUUAAGUCCCGCAACGAGCGCAACCCUUAUCCUUUGUUGCCAGCGGUCCGGCCGGGAACUCAAAGGAGACUGCCAGUGAUAAACUGGAGGAAGGUGGGGAUGACGUCAAGUCAUCAUGGCCCUUACAACCAGGGCUACACACGUGCUACAAUGGCGCAUACAAAGAGAAGCGACCUCGCGAGAGCAAGCGGAUCUCAUAAAGUGCGUCGUAGUCCGGAUUGGAGUCUGCAACUCGACUCCAUGAAGUCGGAAUCGCUAGUAAUCGUGGAUCAGAAUGCCACGGUGAAUACGUUCCCGGGCCUUGUACACACCGCCCGUCACACCAUGGGAGUGGGUUGCAAAAGAAGUAGGUAGCUUAACCUUCGGGAGGGCGCUUACCACUUUGUGAUUCAUGACUGGGGUGAAGUCGUAACAAGGUAACCGUAGGGGAACCUGCGGUUGGAUCACCUCCUUACCUUAAAGAAGC